RNAcentral lists this ribosomal RNA (460 nucleotides) under uncultured bacterium. Its description in RNAcentral is "partial 16S ribosomal RNA". It matches the Rfam family "Bacterial small subunit ribosomal RNA", at positions 338 to 795 of the family's 1533-position model. The record is from RNAcentral.
CCUACGGGUGGCUGCAGUGAGGAAUAUUGGUCAAUGGGCGCGAGCCUGAACCAGCCAAGUAGCGUGAAGGAUGACUGUCCUAUGGGUUGUAAACUUCUUUUAUCAAGGAAUAAAGUGCGGCACGUGUGCCUUUUUGUAUGUACUUUAUGAAUAAGGAUCGGCUAACUCCGUGCCAGCAGCCGCGGUAAUACGGAGGAUCCGAGCGUUAUCCGGAUUUAUUGGGUUUAAAGGGUGCGUAGAUGGGUUGUUAAGUCAGUUGUGAAAGUUUGCGGCUCAACCGUAAAAUUGCAAUUGAUACUGGCAGCCUUGAGUACAUGUGAGGUAGGCGGAAUUCGUGGUGUAGCGGUGAAAUGCUUAGAUAUCACGAAGAACUCCGAUUGCGAAGGCAGCCUACUAGACUGCCACUGACACUGAUGCACGAAAGUGUGGGUAUCGAACAGGAUUAGAUACCCGAGUAGUC